GACAAAUGUCAGUACGCCUGCUGCAUUCCUCUGGGAUAAGAGAAAUGAAGUCAUUACAUUGGAAAGUGAAUCAUGUGCCCAGGAUACACCCCUCUCACCCUGAACACACUGACUCUCCCAGGUUAAGGUCACAGAUCCGGCAGCUGCAAGAGUUCUGGUAGCCGGGAAAGGGUGAGGCAGAAGUGCCACGUAAAGAACAUCAAGGGUUAUGACAUUCGAGAUGGCAAUGACAGAGAGCCCGGCGUUUCAUCAGGUGUCUUGAUUCAUCUAAAGGAAUUCAGUGCCCCUGCGAACCAGUGUAGCAGCUCCCAGACAAACUGUCAAGAACGGAAUUUAGGGGCCAGCCCAUGGCCGAGUGGUUGGGUUCGCAUGCUCCACUUCAGCGGCCCAGGGUUUCGCAGGUUCAGAUCCUGGGCGCGGACCUGGCCCUGCUCAUCAGGCCACGCUGAGGCAGCGUCCCACAUGCCACAACUAGAAGGACCCACAACUAGAAAUAUAUACAACUAUGUACCGGGGGGCUUUGGGGAGAAGAAGGAAAAAUAAAAUCUUGAAGAAAAAAAAAAAUGAAGUUAAUUGGAAGUGCCAUUUUCCAAGAUGCUUGCUUAUUCUUUUAUAAAGGAAAGGGC
Molecule: long non-coding RNA, 626 nt
Filed under: Equus caballus (horse)
Lineage: Eukaryota; Metazoa; Chordata; Mammalia; Perissodactyla; Equidae
Description: lncRNA (ENSECAG00000048133.1)
Source: RNAcentral